RNAcentral lists this long non-coding RNA (1705 nucleotides) under Portunus trituberculatus (swimming crab). RNAcentral's name for it is "uncharacterized LOC123515731". Lineage: Eukaryota; Metazoa; Arthropoda; Malacostraca; Decapoda; Portunidae. The record is from RNAcentral.
AGUGGUGAGGGUUGGUGCUCCGUGCACGGCGGCGGCGUUUUACUUUACCUUGCGCGUGGAACUUAGCGGUUGAUAUUUCGCGUGUGGAUCUUUGCGGUUAAUUAACAUCUCGCGCGAGUGAUUGUGUGUGUGUGUGUGCGCGUUUUUUCUUCCCACGAUCAUUGUAUCAACGCGUCUAAUGUAAGUACCCCUAAACACUCCUCGUGGGACAUCGUCGUGGGACAUCGUCGCUGGAGCACCCCGUCGGCAUAGUAAGUGAAAGAUUCUGUUUCCUAGGGCGAUAGGAUGCUACUAACCACGUUUGCCUUCCAGGAACACUCACGCCUUUCUCUAGAUACUUCCAGAGCAGCAGCUUGGGUUACGUGCAUUGGCGGGGAGGAGGCCGGCAAUUGUACUUGCAUUGAUGGAGACGCGGCGCAAUCAAAGUCCUGGUUUGUGUGAAAUUGGCAAGAUCUGAGACGACGCUGAUACAGAAGCACGCAAAGUUGCAAUCUCAAGAAUACAGCCAAAGUUGCACAGCCGUGAAUGUUACAGAUGCCAAUAACACGUUCCCACCACAGCAACGAUUGUUAAAGGUGAGAAACGCUUUGGUUUGUUAACUUUUAACUAACUUUGCUUUGCAGGUAAUUAAUUCCUUACUUUGCAGGUGGAAUUAAAGUGGAGGUAAGAGGGUUUUUUUUAGGUCACUAACGCGUUGCCUUACAGAUGGUAUUAUGAAGGUAAGGGUUUCAAUAGGGCACUAACUCGUUACUUUGCAGGUGGUAUUGGUAUGAAGGUAAAGUUUAGGUAUCACUAACGCGUUGCCUUACAGAUUGUAUUAUGAAGGUAAGGGUUUCAAAAGGUCACUAACUAAUUACUUUGCAGGUGGUAUUGGUAUGAAGGUAAAGUUUAGGUAUCACUAACGCGUUGCCUUACAGGUUGUAUUAUGAAGGUAAGAGUUUCAAAAGGUCACUAACUAAUUACUUUGCAGGUGGUAUUGGUAUGAAGGUAAAGUUUAGGUAUCACUAACGCGUUGCCUUACAGAUUGUAUUAUGAAGGUAAGGGUUCAAAAGGGCACUAACUAAUUACUUUGCAGGUGGUAUUGGUAUGAAGGUAAAGUUUAGGUAUCACUAACGCGUUGCCUUACAGAUGGUAUUAUGAAGGUAAGAGUUUCAAACGGUCACUAAUUUAUUACUUUCCAGGUGGUAUUGAUCACUAACACCUUGCCUUACAGAUGGUCCAGGUGGUAUUGAUCACUAACACCUUGCCUUACAGAUGGUAUUAUAAAGGUAAUGGUUUAAAAAGGUCAUUAAUUACUUUACAGGUGGUAUGGAUGUGAAGGUAAGAUUGAAGGAUCACUAACGCGUUGCCUUCCAGGUCACACUAAUGCACUUCUAUUUCAAAAAGACACCACAAAUGAGGCUUUUCGAGAUUCAGAUGGCCGGGAGUGAAGGGGAUGGUGACGUGAUAGAUGGGAAGUGAAGAGGAUGGUGACGUGACCCUCCCCCCUUGCCACCGCUCGCUUCUUCAGUCAGUCAGUGGGUCAAUCAUCGCCGCAUGCUUCUCCGUCCGUCCGUCACCGCCGUUCACCGUUCGUUUCGUUAUUCACCGUCGCUCACUUUGCCGUUCUAUUGUUAUUUAAUGUCAUUACAGAAAUAAUGUUUGAAAAUAAAUGAGAUUGAUUAUAGAAAUGUCAAUAAAUGUUAUAUAGAAAUGUCAAUAAAUG